RNAcentral lists this ribosomal RNA (576 nucleotides) under uncultured bacterium. Its description in RNAcentral is "bacterial SSU rRNA". It matches the Rfam family "Bacterial small subunit ribosomal RNA", at positions 240 to 807 of the family's 1533-position model. The record is from RNAcentral.
AUUAGCUAGUUGGCGGGGUAACGGCCCACCAAGGCGAUGAUGGGUAGGGGGUGUGAGAGCAUGGCCCCCCACACUGGGAUUGAGAUACGGCCCAGACUCCUACGGGAGGCAGCAGUGGAGAAUCUUGCACAAUGGGGGCAACCCUGAUGCAGCGACGCCGCGUGGACGAUGAAGGCCCUUCGGGUUGUAAAGUCCUUUUCUAUGGGGAGAAGAUGCGAAGUAGUAACUGACUUUGCAGUGACGGUACCAUAGGAAUCAGUCACGGCUAACUCUGUGCCAGCAGCCGCGGUAAUACAGAGGUGGCAAAUGUUGCUCGGAAUUACUGGGCGUAAAGGACGCGCAGGCGGACUGUUAAGUCAAGAGUGAAAACUUCCGGCUCAACCGGGAGCAUGCUUUUGAAACUGGCGGUCUUGAGACACGUAGGGGAUGACGGAACACCUGGAGUAGUGGUGAAAUGCGUAGAUAUCAGGUGGAACACCGGUGGCGAAGGCGGUCAUCUGGACGAGGUCUGACGCUGAGGCGUGAAAGCCGGGGGAGCAAACAGGAUUAGAUACCCUGGUAGUCCCGGCCCUAAAC